GAACAUAGAAGCAACAAAGGCGAUUUGAACAUCAAAAACACCAUGAUAACCCAUUUGCUAUCUAUGCAAGAAUCUCAGCCGGAAUAUUAUACUGAUGAAAUCAUCAAAGGACUCAUACAAGUCAGUUGGAAUUUUCUAACUCCUUUAUUAUUUGAUUCCUACAUGCUUUUUCAGAAAUCUCUAGAAAAGAGGAAUGAUAAGCAUCAUGAAUUUUUAUAUUUUAUAAUUAUUGAGGAUCAGACAAACUGGACUUUGGUGAUCGAUGAUAACAUUCUUAGCGUACUUUUUAAUUCUUUUCUUCUUCCCAGUUUUGUCUUUUCUUUUAUUUUUAGAGUUAUAAACUUAUCCUGUAAAUUUAUUAUAUAUUUAGGUUAACAGCUACCAUAGCUUUUUUUUUUUUUUUUUUUGAAGUAUUUGGUGUUUGAUAUUUGUAUCUAUUAUAUAUAUAUAUUGAAUAAAUUUAUUAUAAUGCUUAGAAUUACCGGUGGUCUCUCCUCAACUCAAAAAUAAGAUGAUAAUGCAUUCGAACUCACUUUUUCUUACAUUGGUAACAAUAUCCAUACUA
This 565-nucleotide long non-coding RNA is filed under the name Gossypium barbadense (sea-island cotton). RNAcentral's name for it is "long non-coding RNA (GBAR_LNC021691)". Lineage: Eukaryota; Viridiplantae; Streptophyta; Magnoliopsida; Malvales; Malvaceae. The record is from RNAcentral.